CAAGAACAUUAAACCACCUGAU
RNAcentral lists this microRNA (22 nucleotides) under Sarcophilus harrisii (Tasmanian devil). RNAcentral's name for it is "Sha-Mir-196-P3_3p* (star (passenger))". Lineage: Eukaryota; Metazoa; Chordata; Mammalia; Dasyuromorphia; Dasyuridae. The record is from RNAcentral.